RNAcentral lists this ribosomal RNA (460 nucleotides) under uncultured bacterium. Its description in RNAcentral is "partial 16S ribosomal RNA". It matches the Rfam family "Bacterial small subunit ribosomal RNA", at positions 338 to 795 of the family's 1533-position model. The record is from RNAcentral.
CCUACGGGAGGCAGCAGUGAGGAAUAUUGGUCAAUGGACGAGAGUCUGAACCAGCCAAGUAGCGUGAAGGAUGACUGCCCUAUGGGUUGUAAACUUCUUUUAUAUGGGAAUAAAACGUUCCACGUGUGGGAUUUUGUAUGUACCAUAUGAAUAAGGAUCGGCUCACGCCGUGCCAGCAGCCGCGGUAAUACGGAGGAUCCGAGCGUUAUCCGGUUUUAUUGGGUUUAAAGGGAGCGUAGGUGGAUUGUUAAGUCAGUUGUGAAAGUUUGCGGCUCAACCGUAAAAUUGCAGUUGAAACUGGCAGUCGUGAGUACAGUAGAGGUGGGCGGAAUUCGUGGUGUAGCGGUGAAAUGCUUAGAUAUCACGAAGAACUCCGAUUGCGAAGGCAGCUCACUGGACUGCAACUGACACUGAGGCUCGAAAGUGUGGGUAUCAAACAGGAUUAGAUUCCCGAGUAGUC